GCAGCCGCGGUAAUACGUAGGUGGCAAGCGUUAUCCGGAAUUAUUGGGCGUAAAGGGAGCGUAGGCGGCACAUUAAGUCUGAGGUAAAAGCCAGUGGCUCAACCACUGUAAGCCUUGGAAACUGAUGAGCUAGAGUGCAGGAGAGGCAAAUGGAACUCCAUGUGUAGCGGUAAAAUGCGUAGAUAUAUGGAAGAACACCAGUGGCGAAGGCGGUUUGCUGGCCUGUAACUGACGCUGAGGCUCGAAAGCGUGGGGAGCAAAUAGGAUUAGAUACCCC
Molecule: ribosomal RNA, 277 nt
Filed under: uncultured Ruminiclostridium sp.
Lineage: Bacteria; Bacillati; Bacillota; Clostridia; Eubacteriales; Oscillospiraceae
Description: partial 16S ribosomal RNA
Rfam family: Bacterial small subunit ribosomal RNA
Source: RNAcentral